Molecule: ribosomal RNA, 747 nt
Filed under: uncultured Oribacterium sp.
Lineage: Bacteria; Bacillati; Bacillota; Clostridia; Lachnospirales; Lachnospiraceae
Description: bacterial SSU rRNA
Rfam family: Bacterial small subunit ribosomal RNA
Source: RNAcentral
GAUGAACGCUGGCGGCGUGCCUAACACAUGCAAGUCGAACGGGGUUUUAUGUCGGAAGUUUUCGGAUGGAAGAGAUAGGACCCAGUGGCGGACGGGUGAGUAACACGUGGGUAACCUGCCUCAUAGAGGGGGAUAACAGAGAGAAAUCACUGCUAAUACCGCAUAAGCACACGGGAUCGCAUGAUCCUGGGUGAAAAGAUUUAUCGCUAUGAGAUGGACUCGCGUCUGAUUAGCUGGUUGGCGGGGUAAAGGCUCACCAAGGCGACGAUCAGUAGCCGAUCUGAGAGGAUGGCCGGCCACAUUGGGACUGAGACACGGCCCAGACUCCUACGGGAGGCAGCAGUGGGGGAUAUUGCACAAUGGAGGGAACUCUGAUGCAGCAACGCCGCGUGAGUGAAGAAGUAUUUCGGUAUGUAAAGCUCUAUCAGCAGGGAAGAUAAUGACAGUACCUGAAUAAGAAGCCCCGGCUAACUACGUGCCAGCAGCCGCGGUAAUACGUAGGGGGCAAGCGUUAUCCGGAUUUACUGGGUGUAAAGGGAGCGUAGACGGCGAAGCAAGUCUGAAGUGAAAAUCCGGGGCUCAACUCCGGAAGUGCUUUGGAAACUGUUUUGAUAGAGUGUCGGAGAGGUAAGUGGAAUUCCUGGUGUAGCGGUGAAAUGCGUAGAUAUCAGGAAGAACACCGGAGGCGAAGGCGGCUUACUGGACGAUAACUGACGUUGAGGCUCGAAAGCGUGGGAAGCAAACAGG